Molecule: long non-coding RNA, 843 nt
Organism: Ictalurus punctatus (channel catfish)
Lineage: Eukaryota; Metazoa; Chordata; Actinopteri; Siluriformes; Ictaluridae
Exons: 2
Source: RefSeq, a predicted model, not a curated record
AGACCUUAAACAGAGCGAGACCUCUGAACGUCUGAAGUGGCUCCUCCUAGCUGUCAACAACGCACCACGGCUGGAGACGUCAAAAGGUCAUGAAGGGGGUCUCUGGUCUCCAUGGUUACUUCACGGACCCAGCCAGCGAUGAAGCCCCGCCCCUUGAUCUCUGAUUGGCCAGAAGACUCAAAACCACAGCGAUGACUGGACAGUUGAGCUGUCGUUCAGGUUUCCAUGGCAAGAGUAUAACGCAGUCGAACGGCGGAGUUGCAGCCAAUCACAGCAGCAGGACGCUGGAUGAAAUUGGCGCGUCACCAGCGACAUCUCCCGGUCAAAAGAAGCAAUUACACUAAAAGUUUUAAAAUGUCUCCUGAAAACAAAUAUAAACGUUUACCUGAAGUAAAUAUAUGAACGCAGAGGAAAUAUUUUCUCUGUGGAAAGUUUCCACUUUCCAGGUGUAAAACAGGAAAAAAUAUUAUUAUUAUUAUUAUUGUUUUUACAUUAAGAGUCUUCAGUGUAAAACAAUCAUAAACUAAUUAAAAUAACAUUAUUGGGGUCUCUUUAAUUUUUUUUGUAACCUUAUUUACAAUAAAACAACGUUUUAUGCAAUAAAUGGCAGCUAAAGUUUUUAAAAAGUAUUCUCAGACUGCUUAAAAGAGAUAAACCACUCCAACAAUGUUGUGCUGUAGUAGGAAAAUAAUCAACGAUGAGGUGAUGUGUUAAACAGAGUCAUCCCUUCCAACCCAAACCGGAUUAUUUUCCAAUAUCAUCACGUUUUAUUUCAUCUUGUACCACAGCAAUAUGGCAAUGAUUUACAUUUUUAAUUUAUUAAAGGAUGACACAUCAUACUUU